This 253-nucleotide ribosomal RNA is filed under the name uncultured bacterium. RNAcentral's name for it is "partial 16S ribosomal RNA". It matches the Rfam family "Bacterial small subunit ribosomal RNA", at positions 524 to 776 of the family's 1533-position model. The record is from RNAcentral.
GACAGAGGGUGCAAACGUUGUUCGGAAUUACUGGGCGUAAAGAGCGUGUAGGCGGCCCGGUAAGUCCGUUGUGAAAGUCCAGGGCUCAACCCUGGAAAGCCGAUGGAUACUGCCGGGCUAGAGUGCGGAAGAGGCGAGUGGAAUUCCUGGUGUAGCGGUGGAAUGCGCAGAUAUCAGGAGGAACACCUAUAGCGAAGGCAGCUCGCUGGGACGACACUGACGCUGAGACGCGAAAGCGUGGGGAGCGAACAGG